AAGUCUAAUCUGCCCAGUGAUUUAUUUAACGGCCGCAGUAAUUUAACUGUGCAAAGGUAGCAUAAUCAAUAGUUUUUUAAUUGAAAGCUAGAAUGAAUGAUUGAACGAGAGAAUAUCUGUUUCAGUUUUAAAUAAUUAAAAUUUAAUUUUUAAGUAAAAAGGCUUAAAUUUAUUUAAAAGACGAGAAGACCCUAUAGAGUUUUAUAAUUUUUUUUAUUUAUUAUUUUUAGUUUUUAUUUUAAUUAAUAAUUAGAUUAUUUGAUUGGGGUGAUUUUAAAAUUUAAUAAACUUUUAAUUAUUUUAAUACAAAAAUUUUUGAUUUGUUGAUCCUAUUAUUUAGAUUAUAAGAUUAAAUUACCUUAGGGAUAACAGCGUAAUUUUUUUGGAGAGUUCUUAUUGAUAAAAAAGAUUGCGACCUCGAUGUUGGAUUAAGAUAAAAAUUUAAUGAAAAAGUUAAAUUAUUUAAGUCUGUUCGACUUUUAAAAUCUUACAUGAUC
This 497-nucleotide ribosomal RNA is filed under the name Trissemus sp. QH8. Its description in RNAcentral is "partial large subunit ribosomal RNA". The stretch from base 365 to 497 matches the Rfam family "Bacterial large subunit ribosomal RNA", at positions 2473 to 2605 of the family's 2925-position model. Lineage: Eukaryota; Metazoa; Arthropoda; Insecta; Coleoptera; Staphylinidae. The record is from RNAcentral.